GGGAAAGUGGCUUAAUGGUAGAGUGCUUGCCUGGAAUGCAUGAAGCCCUGGGUUUGAUUCCUCAGUACCA
RNAcentral lists this transfer RNA (70 nucleotides) under Dipodomys ordii (Ord's kangaroo rat). It matches the Rfam family "tRNA". Rfam says of the family: Transfer RNA (tRNA) molecules are approximately 80 nucleotides in length. Lineage: Eukaryota; Metazoa; Chordata; Mammalia; Rodentia; Heteromyidae. The record is from Rfam by way of RNAcentral.